UUGCUGGGGAAGAAGCACAGGACAGCAUGACUACCCUGCCCAGCCCAGGGAUCGGAUGGUCAGGGAACUGAGCCCAUGUCAGCCAUCCCUGGGGAGAAACAAGAACAACAGAGGUUCCCACACGGGGCAAGUCAAACUCAGCUGGGGAAACAAAGACCAUCUGGCACAGACCCACGUGGGAACAGCGGCCCACAGCACAGGUGACAGGGCUGAGUGCUCCCAUGCCAGCCCCCACUCCCCAGCAGCCAAGGGGCUGGAGUGGGCUGGGAAGGUGAACAACCUCUACUACUGUAAAGACAUUUCGAUGCCGAAGGUGCUCCUUCAGCGUCCCUCCCGUAGGAAGCCUUUCUUGGCGCUUCCCAAGCCAGUGCCGGAUGUUCCUUCCUCCAUGACCCAAGCACAUCACACACUGGGGCAAUUACUAAUGGGUCUGUUCCCCUCUGGGUCUGGUGCCCCAAGGCCAGGGCCCCAUCCCUCUCCUCUCCUGGGUCGGCACUCAGACUGCACAUAGAAAAUGCUUGCGGGAGAAGGCAGGAAGAAAGUGCAAGAGACAGGAGCCUCUGAAUACCCAGGCAGAUCCUAAAACAGGACAACCCAAUGCCUCCCACUGGGCUCCCACUCUAUAACAGCAGCUACUGUCAGCUUCUCUGCCCUGUAUUCUCAGCACUCAGCACAGAGCCUGCCACGUCACAGGUCCCUGGACAGUAGGGAAUGAAUGAACGACUGAACGAACGAACGAAUGAACAACACGUGUACACAACCAUGAACAUAUCAAUAGAUAAACAUACUGCACUAAAGUACUCAAAACCCUGAGCUGCCUCUGGAACUCCUCUCCCCAUUCUGGGCUAGAGAAAUAGUGAUGUGAUUAAAACAUUUCAGGCCCAGACCUCCCAGAUGAAGGGAUGAGGGGCCUGGCGGGGACCCCCAUCAGGGCAGGGUGCCAUGCAGGGGACAAGGCCGGGAUCCCUCACAGGAUGCCCUUUUGCAGGCUCCUUGCUUUUCAAGAUUGCAUUAGGGAUCAAUUAAGGAGCAAGUGUCAAGCACAGGGACCAGAUAGUCAGGCCCUUGGGCAGGUCAGGGCUCCCCUCUCAGCAGCCCACAUGUGAGGCCCCAGAGAAAAGAGGGGACAGGCACACAAAAGCCUGAGGCCAACAACAAGUGAAGGGGCCAAGCCAGCAGUCAGAUGGUGGCUGUCACACCCAUCCAACUAGCCCACAAAGGACACCGCAGUCUACCAAAGCCACCGCAUGCCUCUGGCUGCCUGCCCUUGGCAUGACCACAAGCUCCCAGAGACCCAAAAAGCACCUGUUCCUCCUAACUCCCAACCCUCCUGGCCAGGGGGCCCUCACGGUGUCCUUGAGAGUGAGCCAGGGUAUAAGGAAACAAAGACAAAUCAGAAGGAGCUGGCUCCUGGUCCUAAACCCAGAAAAGACACACUGUGCCACCGUACAGGAGAGGGCCCGACACACAGCAGGCGUGCCCCCAAAGCUGGCUGAAUGGAAUGAAGAUAGCUCCCCACUUCUAUUCUGACCAGGAACAAGCUUCAAGGUCCAGAGCAGACCGAGCACGCUGAGCCAGCUUUCUAAAGAGAAAAGCUCCUUUGUACCACGUGUCACUCUGUAGCCUCUCAGCCAGAAAGGAAGUACAGGGUGGGUGCCAGCCCGUCCCACAGCAACUCCACCCCUGUGUCUGCAGAGCAGCCUGGAGAUGGGCCAGAGUCCCUGGGGAAGGGAGGCUGACAGCUCCUCUCCAGAUAGGCAGGCAGGCGCUGGCGCAGGGGGGCCUGGGAGCUGAGCUGCUCCCCUGCCCCCCACGACUUGAGACAGGCAGCUGUUUCAUCAAAGCAUGAGCUAAUUAGGGCUGUCUCUGCCAUCAUGUGCCUAAGGAACGCUCACCCAUGACAGGAGGGUCCAGGAAGAGAAGACGACCACGCUGAGAGAUUCACACAAACAUCAAAUGCUGCUUCCCCAAGGGGGCUGAGAGAUCUGACAUCGCAUCAGCCUUUGGGAGCACUGCCAAGGAGUCCCAUCCCUCAUGGGCCCUCAGAGCAGCAGAGACAAGGCCCUCCAAAGACAGCACAAAGCUCAUCACAGCACCCCAUCAUCGCAGCCUCAGUUAAUCACCCAGGGCUGGGCAACCAAAGCCCUUCCACUUUCUGCACUGUGACCAGGGCAAAGAGAAGUCCCUUCUCUUCAGAAGGUGGGCUGAUGUGGGUCGGGAGCCACCCACAGCCAAGCCAGCAGCAGCCCAGUCCCACCCACUCUGUCCCCCUCAGGCAGGCUCUUCCCACCCCAUUUAGAGUAGGAGAGAAGAGAGCUCCAACAUCAGAUAAGUAAAUCGGAGAGAAAAGAGAAAGUCUGACCUUUUGUAAAUUGCUGAAAUCAGGUUCAUAAGGCAAUAAAUUCAUGUUUUCACCCACAGCCAAGUCUGUGGGUACGGCAGGACCAUGGGCCAAACAUGGGCUGUGACAGUGCACAGCCUUGGCAGCCCUGGGCCCAUGCCCUGCCUGGCCUCUUCACAUGAUCAGCUUAAACGAGGUACCCAUGGAACCCUGGGAACUCCAGGCCUUACCCCAGGGUUCCCACAGCUUCAGGAGUUUCCUAAAAGGCCACCCUGUGAAGUGGCCUUUUAGGGCUGCCCAGGCAAGGGGUUGAAGAAACACAGCAGAGGAAGAGGGGGAAGAUGAGGCUUGCGCUUCCAGCUGCUCCUCAGUCCAUCCAGGCAGGGCCAGUAGAGCUGAAGGUUUCCUGAGCAAUCACCCACCAAGGGUAGAAUCUGCUCCUAGAAACAGACCCUCUCGCCAGUCAGCUCUGCCUUGGGCUUUAAAUGCUCACAGCCUGGGGCUGGGGGAGGCAACUACCAAAACAGCUCAGAGUGAGGCCUCUGGAUGUGCAAGGACCAGGGCCUGCAGGACCCUUGCUGGGAAUCUCAUAAGCAAUGAAUGGCUCAUGGCCUUGGGCAAGUUUUCACCUGUGAGGCAGAGCUAGGACUACCCAUGUAAAAGACAGAACAGUUAAUGAAUGCCAAAAUGCCACACUGCUAGCCAAUGCACUGUGGCCAAAAGAUAAUUACAGUAGGCUCACUACACAAAGAGGCCAGACCACAUCUUUGAGAGCACAGCUUUAUUUGGCCUGGAUGCCUCGAGCACAUAUCAUGUAUGGCAGCCCCAUCCUCCUCCAGCCUAUGGACUCUGGACCAGAGCUGCGGCCCACCCCUGGAGGGACCAGUCCUGCUGGCUGGAAGGUAGGUGUCCUGACAGUUGGGGAUCUGAGUUAAGGGGGCGGGGGCCUGGCACGCCUCAAAGUGACAUCAGUGGCGCUGGUGUGCUCAAAGUCAACAGAAGGAUAUUAAGGACGUAGCUCAUCUCCGAUGCGAUAAAUGAGAAUAAACCUUGUUCAGGGCUAAGCCGGCUGGACUAAAUAAAUACCAUUAGCACUUGGAUUACUGGGAUGUUCACAAUCAGCAGGCAAGUCAGCUGUCUGUGUGCAGAGGGACGACAGCAGCUGCUACUCUGUAAAUCUUGCAGGGAGAUGGGCUGGGGGUGGGGCAGGCUGCAAAAAUGGAAGUGAUUGCAUUUGCAAAAACCAAAGAGUUUGGGUCAGGGUGACAGCAAUUUGGGCAAUCAGCCAAGAGUCAGAGGUCAUAUUUUAGCUAACUGAAGCUAAGCAAGUGUCUGGGUGGAAGGGGACUGAAGGAGCUGACCACAGGGAAGGCAGCCCAGCUCGGCCAGGGGGCCCAGGAGAUUGCUGCCCAGCACACACCCCGGGGCUGACUUCACCCUUGGGCUCAGGGCUGGCUACAUAAUUUUCAGGCCCAAGUGCAACAUGAAAACGUAGGGCCUUUUGUUCAAGAAUUAUCAGAAAUUUCAAGACAGUGAGAACAGAGCAUGAAGCCAAGCACGGGCCCUUUUGAGUGUGGGGUCCUGUGCCGCUGCACGGGUGGCAGGGCCAACAAGGUAUGUGCACGGAAAUCCUGCUCCAGGGUCAACCAACCGGAACAACAAGGGCUGAAAAGUAAGCUUGAAUUUCUGAAAAGGAAAACAACUGGAAAAGGCAGAGCUCUAGGAUGGGAAUAAGGAUGAGGGUGACUAGUUAGAUGGGGGCCAAGGAAAUGCUAAGGUGUAACUGAAGAGAGCUUCUGUGAUUGAGACUGCCAGGCCAGACCAGGACACCAGAGGCACAGCAGAGGGAUGUGCUCACUCACGCGUCCUCGUGACAUUUCUAAGUGCAACAAAUACUCUUUUCAUUCCCUUAGAACAGGAAAAAACUAUUAUUUUUCUUCUGAAAUGCCUCUGAGAUGAUGCCAUGCACUGAGGGCAGAGGGCACAUCUCAGGGGUAUAUGGGGCCAGGCUCAAUCAUUCACCUGAUGAAGUGCAGCUCACCUUCUUGCCCAGAAAGAAAGAUUUCCUCUGGUGGCCCCACCUUGCUUAUGCCUUAAUGUGUGGCCUCCAUCAUCUGGGAAAGCAAGAAUUUGCAGGAUGUGUAAUCCUGAAAUAGAUGGGUUCAAGAGACAUCUAUAUUUGCCUGCCAUCCAGGGAUGAGUGGGGCUAGGUAAUCAAUCAGUUAAGAUACAAACAAUUGGCUGGGCGCAGUGGCUCACGCCUGUAAUCCCAGCACUUUGGGAGGCUGAGGCGGGCAGAUCACUUGAAAUCAGGAGUCCAAGACUAGUCUGGCCAACAUGGUGAAACCCCGUCUCUACUAAAAAUACAAGAGUUAGCUGGUGUGGUGUCAGGCACCUGUAAUCUCAGCUACUCGGGAGGCUAAGGCAGGAGAAUCGCUUGAACCCAGGAGGUAGAGGUUUCAGUGAGCUGAGAUCACGCCACUGCACUCCAGCCUGGGCAACAGAGCAAGACUCUAUCUUAAAAAAAAAAAAAAGAUACAAUUACCGAAUUGAAUAAAAAUGGAAUAGGUUUAACAACAACAACAACAAAAAACAAAAAACAAAACAAAAAAAACACUGUACAAAUCUUCCACUACAAAGUCAAGCUUCCAGGAAUAACAAAACACAUGAGCUGCACAUCACUUUGUGUUGGGACCUGUAUGGCCUCAGGAGUUCCAUCUGGACACUGGGGAAAGGCAGGGCUAUCAUCUGACCCCUUCAUGUACAGCCCCCAACUGGAAGCCACCCACGUAAGCAACUAUGAGACACCCACUCCUCACCACAGUAACAGCAACUCACAAGAGGGUCUCUAGACCCUACUGACAGACACACACACAAUACACACACACAGACACAAUCAUCUGCCCACCUCUGAGGAGAUAAAGGGAACCUCAGAGGGAGGGGCAGCAAAUCACCUUCCUGAGGGUCAUCUGGUAGCUCUCCAACACAGCCCUGUGUCACAAUCACCUGGGCAGUUUAUUUCCUGAAACCAUUUCAGACUAGUGCUUUAAAAAAUUACAGAAAAUAGGCCAGGUGUGGUGGCUCAUGCCUGUAAUCCCAGCACUUUGACAGGCUAAGGUGGGAGGACUGCUUGAGUCCAGGAGUUUGAAACUAGCCUGGACAAGGUGGUAAAAUCCCCGUCUCUGCAAAAGUAAAAAAAAAAAAAAAAAAAAAUUGCCGGGCAUGGUGGUAUGCACCUAUGGUCCCAGCUACUCGGGAGGCUGAGGUAGGAGGAUCACUUGAGCCCAGGAGGCUGAGGCUGCAGUGAGCUAUGGGCAACAGAGUGAGAUUCUGUCUCUCUAAAGAAAAAAAAAUUAUAGAAAAGUAAUUACACAAAAAAAUGACUUACUGGAAAGCUGCAAGAAUAGUAAAUAAACUCCCAUCCAGAUUCACCAAUUGUGGACAUUUACCACAAUUUUCUGUCUCUCUUAAUAUUUACACAGAUUUUCUUUUUUAAAAUAUUUGAGAGUAAUUGAAGAUAUGAAGACCCUUUACCCCUAAACAUAUCAGUGUGUAUGUCCCAAGAACAUAACCAAAGUACAGUGAUCAAAAUCAGGAAACUAACACUGACACAGUAAUCUACAGAUAUUUAUUCAGCUUUUGCCAGCUGUCCCAAUAAUAGUCCUUACCCCCCACUCUUUCCUCUUUUUAAGAAACACUUUUUUUUUUUUUUUUGUAGAUGGGGGUUCUCACGAUAUUGCCCAGGCUGGUCUUGAACUCCUCCUAGCUUCAAGCAAUCCUCCCGCCCUGGCCUCCUAAAACGUUGGGAUUACCGGCAUGAGCCACUGCACAGAGCCCUCUCAAUAAUAUUGUUUUUAGAAAAAUAAUUUUGACCCCACGUCCGAUUUAUGCCCAUACGAUGUACACAGCAGCCUGUCUCCUUGGUCUCCUUUCAUCUGGAACUGUCCCUUAGUCUUGUCUUUCAUGACACUGACAUUUAUGAAAAGUGCAGGCCAGUGGUAGAAUGUUUCUCAGUUUGGAUUUGUCCAAUGUGUUCUAAUGAUUAGACUGAGGCUGUGGCUUUGGCAGGAAUACACAAACACAAUGCCGUAUCUUUCUCAGUGUAUCACAUAGGAGGGCAAGUGAUGUCCAUAAGUCUCACAAUUGGAUGUUUUCUUUGCAUACUUGGUUAUGGUGGUAUCUGCCAGAUUUCUCCACUAUAAAAAUACUAUUUGUUCCUCUGAAAUUAAUAUUUUGUGGGGAGACACUUUGAGAUAUGAAGACAGCCUAUUCCUCAUCAAACUUUCAUGUAGUCGUUUUGGCAAUCAUUGACAAUUCUUGCUUAAUUAUCCCAGGUUAAGCAUCUUAAGUCCAAAAAUCUAAAAUCCAAAAUGCUCUAAAAUCUGAAACUUUUUGGGCAUCAACAUGAUGCUCAAAGGAAAUGUUCAUUGGAGCACUUUGGAUUUUGGAUUUUUGGAUCAGGGAUGCUCAAGUGGUAAGUAUAUAAUGCAAAUAUUCCAAAAGCCAAAAAAAAAAAAGAAAAUCCAAAACAUUUCUAGUCUCAAGCAUCUCAGAUAAGGGAUGUUCAACCUGUACCAUGAUGUUUGUCAAAUGAUGAUAUUCAAACUCCUGUCUUUAUUUUUCUUGUUUCUAUCUUUAUUUGCUGGCAUUCUACCUAAAAGAAGAGGUUUUCCUUCUUUCCUAUUUCUUCAUUCAUUCAUUUACUGGUAUCAGUAUGGAUUAAUAGAUUCUUAUUUAAUCUAUGGAAUGGCAUCCAUUUCUAUCAUUUACUUCAAUGCUCAAAUUAUCCUUAAUCACCAGGCAUUUUCAUGCUGGCUUCUGUGUCUUUUUAACAUGUUUCCAUCACCCUUUAAUAUUUUCUUACCUUCUGGCACAGGAUGUUCUUGUACAAGAUAUUGCUCUUUUCCCGUGCCAGCCAUGGAAUCAGCCAUUUCUCCAAGGAACAAUUGGAGCCCUUUUUGAAAAUACAGACUCCAAGCCCUACCCUGCAUAUACUAAAUCAUAAUCUCAGAGAACGUGGCUCCGAAGACCUGAUUUUUCAUAAAUGCCACAUGUGAUUCCUACGUUCUGAGGACAAGCAUUUGGGAUAACUAGAGUCAAUGCUCAACCUUUUAUCCAGUAUAGCAUCUCUGGUAAUUGGCAGCCCAGUACUUGAAGACUACAUCAUCAAACAAGGCAGCUUUACGCUAGUUUAAAACUCCUCCAAUUGCCAGAAAAACAUAUUCUGAUACUGAGCUGAAAUCUGCUCUCAUGAAGCUUAUACCCUCUGGUCCUAUACCCUCUGGUCCUAAGUCUACCCUUGAAGAAAGAAAGGGUUGCCUGAUCUUGUCCUGACAGGUCAGCCCUUCUGAAAGUUGGGAGCAGCCAACCAUCCAGAGAAAGCUCCCCUCUCACAACGUGGCCUCACGGGAUUCUGCAGUCAUUCUCAGGGUGACUCUUGAAACUCUCCACUUUCCUGACAAUGCUCUAUGGGACCCUGUUCCACUUACUGAUGAAUCCCUACAGUGGUGGUGCCCAAACCUACCCUCAGGGAUCCAGGCUGGACAACCCCCCACCCACAGUCCAAUGGGCCUGGCUGCCUCUGCCCCAGGGCCACUCUGCCCCUAAUGCCUCAAUCUCUAGAUUUUUGUUAGUAGCCUCACAGAGCUUACAGUGGCCUGCCUAGGUCAAAUCCCUAAAGGCUGCUCACAUGAUCUUCUGAUGAGCCAGGGGGUCCCCAACAUGGCUCUGAAGCCAAGCACAGGGCUUCGAUUUUAUUCUUACUAAAGAAUAAAUAUUGUCAGGAGGCAAAAAGCAAAUUACAAAUGGUAUGGGUGAUAUGACACCAUAUAUUUAUUUCUGGGUGGUGAAUUUUUGUUUUAAACAAGGAAUCUGAAUUACUUAUAAAUUAGAAGUUUAAUAACAAUAAAAUUUAACAUGCCACUUGGCUACCUAGACCCUUCCUCCUAGCCUGUCACUAUUCUUUUGGAUUCUCACUGUCAUGUAUCUUACAUGGUUAUCUCUUCCUGAUCCGUGCCAUCUGUUCCCACAUCUUCACAUGAGAACCAGAAUGCAGGUUAGACAGACAGAGUCUGCCACAAGCUCUUUGGCACAUCACUACAGUGAAGGCUCUGUUGACAUUGAACCACUUGAACCAUUUCUAAAUAAACAUUGAUUAAGUCUGAUUGUUCAAGCUGCUACAAAUCUACGUCUUUUUUUUUUUUUUUUUUUUUUGAUUCAGAGUCUCACCUCACUCUGUCACCCAGGCUGGAGUGCAGUGGCGCAAUCUAAGCUCACUGCAACCUCCACCUCCCAGAACUCAAGCUUAAUUCUCAUGCCUCAGCCUACCACGUAGCUGGGACUACAGACACACACCACAACACUAACCACCAUGCCCAGUUUUGUUUUGUUUUUGUUUUUGUUUUUGUAUUUUUAGUGGAGAGAAGGUUUUGCCAUGUUGGCCAGGCUGGUCUCGAACUCCUGGCCUCAAGUGAUCUGCCAGCCUUGACCUCCCAAGUGCUGGGAUUACAGGCGUGAGCCACGGCACUCGGCCUCAAAUCUACGUCUUUAUUAUCAUUUCUCUAUCUGAUCUAUUAGAUUAUUAUGAGAUUCUGUCAAAUGAUUUCCUGAAACGCAGACUUCCUCUGUGUCUAUUAUACCGGCCUAAUCUGCCAGCCUGGCAAAUCUUAUGAAAAAGAAAAUUAGAGUUGGGAGGAACUUGAGACAGUCUUCUGGGGUACUGAUAAUGUUACAUUUCUGGAUCUGGGUGGUGGUUACAUGGGUGUCUCCACUUUCAAUAAUUCAUCAAGUAGAAUGUGUUAAACUUUUCUAUAUGGAGGGAUGGGGGAGGGAGGACUUAAGCAUUAAACUAGUCCAGCAAGACCUGGUUUUAUGGAACCCACACUAACUCUAAGAAAUGACCUCUUUUCUUUAAAAAUACUCUUAAGUCACAUCUCAAAAACUUGCUCUGUUAUUUUGAAAACCAGAACAGUUGCCCAUUGUGUCUCCUUGCCCCUCUCCCAAUCCCCAUAAUGCCAUAAAGAUUUCUGCACACAGUUUGAUGAUGAUGUCCCUAAGUUUCUGUCUGGCAUUUAAUUUUUCAGACCCUGUCUAAUUUGGAGAAGCCAGUGGUUCAUUUACACUUUUUGUACACUCCUGGUCUCAAGUUCCACUUAACUCUAUGUUUGUUUUACUUUCUGCAGGAAGGCCAUUCUCCUUGAGAGAGAAGGCAGAGGCAAACAGAAUAAGCAGUAAGGACAGAGAUGCCCUCUAUGGCAUCUGCUAAAUCACCUGAUUGAACCAGGUGGCCUAAAGCCUUCCUUGCCAUCCCUCUCACUCUCAACAGUAGCUGCACAGGCGCCUUUGUUGUUCUUAGUGUUUCCCAGGUCUCACCCAUCUGGUGCUCCUGACACUGUUCUCGGAGGUUGCAUCCACUUCUCUAUUUGCUCUUGGUUACAGGUCCCUUUUUCAUCUCUAGACAAAAUCUCAGCUCGAACUGUGCCCCCUGAAGCCAUGUGGGUCUCUUUAGGUGGCUCCCUGUUCCCUGCAGUAAUCACUCGUGACUCUAUUAAGUACACUUCAUUUUUCAAACUCUAAGUCAUCUUUCCUUUUGAAGCUCCUGUUCAGACAUCAUAUCUACUUUUUCCUGGACCCUCUGAAAUUUACUUUCCCUAAAACUCAGAGGCAGAGAGUUUUACCUUCCCCUUUUAGCUUCUCCAAACACAGUCACUUUCUGCUGAUGUUCUCUAGACUUUUUUUUUUUUUUUUUUUUUACCAGACAGAUCCUUCUUGUUGCUCAGAAUAUAAUUUCAGUGAGGCCCUUCUCCUUAUUGCUUCCUUAACCUCCUGAGAGAGAAAACUGUCAGAAAAGAGAAUUAAGAAUUAAAGCAAGUGAAGAAUUUAUUGGUUUCUUUUUUUUUUCUAGAAGAUUUCCAACUGCCCAGAUACCCCGUGCACCACGCCAGUUUGCUUCUGUGCCAGUUUUAUAAUUUCAAUUGAGAAAGCCUCUUCUACACGGAGGCCCAAACCCAGGAAGCAAAACACUGAGUGCUGCUCUGGAGUCAGAGAGACCUAGGUGAAAGUCCGAGAUUCUAGUGUUUUCAGCUGUGUGACUGAGGUAAGUUACUAAGCCUCUCUGUACCUCAGUUUCUGCAUUUGUAAAACAGGGAUUAAUAACAAUAAUAUUUAUCUCAUGGGAUUGUUGCGGGGAUGAAAUGUGAUUUUAUAUACAUAAACAUACCCAGAGUUCCUGGCAAAUGCCAAGCAUUAGGAUAACAGCUGUUUUAUCAUAAUAUACCAUUUAACAAAAAUUAUUAUUUUUACUUUUCUGCUAAGACAGAAUGCCAGGGUUUUCAGGCUUCUCAGAAGGGAGAGGAGCUAUCUGUGUUGGGGGACAAAGAAGACCUCCCACUGAGUGGCCUUAGAUUCCCAUUCUCAGCUCCUCUGACUGGAUAGACAAAGCCAGUACAGAAGGAAUUCAUGGGGGAGAAAUGUAAUUAACAAGCUAGAGGGAGAGAUUGGGAGGAAGGAUCAAAGCAGCUAAUUAGAACUGGCUAAAGGGAGACCACAGGGUAGGGAACAUGGAAGAAAGCGGGCUAAAGAGAAUUAUCUGCAGCCUCUAAUUAUUCAAAGAAUGUCCCUGAGUAAUUGUCUCAGGCAGUCUGAGGGAGGCAAGGCAGGAGUAACAAGGUUAAGCAGAAGAAAAUUUAAGCUAAAACAUACGGGAGAUUUUUCACACACUGAGAUUUAUCAACUUUAUUAGAGAACACAGAGGAUGUUAUUUUAGGUCUUCUAUACUCAGUUGGUGGUAUAACUAUCCCCAUGUCUGGUGGCUGGGGGAGAGCGGAGGAGGCCAGACCCUGCAGGGCAAGAGGGGAUCCAAGGAAAUGGCCCACACAAUCCUUGCUCCAAGCUUAUAGGCAACACACCUUGUCAACCCGCCCUUUGAGGCUCAGGAAAGAGCUUCCUUCCUCACUCAGAUCUGCACUCCCUCCAACCUCCACAUCCCCUCACCCUCCUUGUGUUCUGUCAUAAACUUGAUAAACAUGAUAAAUCUCACUGUGUGAAAAAUCAUCUCCUCAAUCAGAGCCAGUGGAAUCACGCAGGGCCUAUUUUGCGUUUGCCACACAACUGUAGGAAUGUUUAUGAAUGAGCCAUCUCUUAAUAGCAAAAGAAAAGGCAAUGAUCGUAGGACGGUCUAUAGCUGAAAAUGACAACACUGAAAUACUUCGUUUACAGGAUUUGGAAGUCGUAUAGACUACAAAUCUCUCUGCUGUGCAACACACAUAACAAGUCCCCAAAAUAUCCUUUGUUUGCUGAGGUUUUGCUCAGAUAUUUAAGGUUCUGACAGUUUAAAUAUGGUGAACAAUAUGGUGAACCAUCCAAAUAUUUUGCAUCAUUGGUAUUUGGAAAGAUCUUUAAGAACAAUUAGUUCUAGUUCAGAGAGGCAAGUGCAGCACCCAGGCUCCCGGUUUUCCGUGGGGGCGGAUCAACAUGGCCUCCUCAGCUAGCUGCAUUUCACAGGGAGUCUCAGGCCCCCCUAGCAUGGGUUUCCUAGGCCUGGCCACUUGGCUCACAUUGUAACAGAGAAGAAAACUGGGCAGAUCCGCUGACUCCUCAGCUAGGCGCGGGGUUCACCAGGUCUCACUGGAGGCUGAGAAAAAUACAGAGCUUCCCGGAAGCAGGAACAACACUGGGAGGCCUGACCUUGCUCAAGGCCCUUUGACCUGACUCACCAGACCGGAAUGGGAACCUAAAGGAAAGUGGAGACUUCCCAUUCUGUGGAAAUCUUUAAGAACUGGAGAAAAGUUCCAAUUACUUACAGCUUCAAGGGACAGAAUGAUGGAUGGCUUUGUUUGCAAACAUGCUAUUUGUCUGAGGCUCUUUGUCCAGUCAGCUGGUUGACAAAUACUGAUCACGCCCAGUGUGCACAGGGACCUCAGUUAAGAAUACCAGGGCUAGAGCAAAGAACGAACAUAGUUCCUGUCUCUAUCAGACAAAAUUAACAGCCGACAGAGACGCGCAGAGAGCCACUCUGAGAGAAGCCACUGGGUGCAAGGGUUGUCUGAAAAAUGGAGGAGCUGAGCAGGAGGGCAUGCUGGAGGAAUGACCUUGACAAGAUCAAAAGUUAUUAAAAUAGGAGGAGGAAAGCUAAACUUCUGUAUGUACUGCCCAACUGAAGGCAGAUGAAAACCUCCUUUUUUCCCCAAAAGAAAAUGUUAAGAAUCACCUUCCACAGACUCUUUUAACUCUAUUUCUGAUAAAUCAUUAAAAGGCCUUCUGCUGGAAUCACUCAAAUACCAAAGAAAAAGUUACACUCGUAAAAUAGUUAAUGUCAAAACGUAAAUGGUUUGUUUAAGAUUCAGCAAUUGUUGCUGAAUCAAACACAAAAUCUCUAUGGCUUGAAUAGCAAGGGAAACAAAAGGCUUGACGAUUUAGUGCUCGUUAAAGCCUGUCUGGCUGAAUUUUAGAUUGCAACUUAAAAGAAAAAAACAUUAAACCAGUUCAAGUGUGAACUGACAUAUGCACAGCAGUUUUCAGCUGCCUGCAAAUGGGGCAAGGACACAGCCUGGAAUGUGACUUGCACACGCCAUGGCUGAGUAUGGACCAAUGUCCAGGGUACAAGGGCAGGGCCUGAGGGAACCCGACAAGAAAGCGUGGGGAAGCUGAGCCCAGGGGCCCACCAGGGGCUGAGGGUGACGCUGGGAAGAGGGCCAAUCCCCAUUAGCUCUUUCCUGCAGGGAGGCUGGGGGCUUGAGAACAAUCAAAUGCUAGGCAGGGGCUUCCCUCUUGCCUGGGGAGGUGGGGAAGCAACAGCUUUUUGCUGUCCCUCCCCUUUUCUGGCCUUGCUUGUCAGACACUUCCAUGAGCCACAGUGGGACUCCUGCCCUUUCAAAUCUCAUCACAGGCCUGGUGACCCCCACAACCCUCAAAUCGGGUGUUAGAAAUAGUCCUUUGUGGUAGGUUUGUGGGGUGCUGAGCAGAAUCUUUGUCUACAUUCUCUUGCCUACUGGGAUAUAAACGCUUAAAAUUUCACCAUCUGGGAUUUACUUCUUUGAGUCUUAAAGACAAUUCUGUCUUUCAGGGUCCUCUAUUAAAAUGCCAUUGUCCCUGGGUUGGGAGGACCCUGUAUAAGUAGGGUGACCACAUAAUUUAUUGUCCAAACCGGGACACUUUUGAGAGUGAAAGGGGCACAAUUAAUUACUGCACUGGGACAAGAGGCAUAAACAGAACAUAUGGUCACUCUCUGUAUAAAGCUUUGUGUUAAGUUCUAUGGAAGACACAAAGGUGAAUAAAGCACUUUCAUGGUCCUGGAACCUGGACCUUGAGCUGAGGGGCAGGAGAUCCUGGGAAUAGGCUAACUCUAGGCACCCACGGAGGGGGAUAACAGCACUCCAGAGGGAAGUGUCAUGGCAGCUUAGCAAAGACCAAGGGCUCUGGAGCCACACAGAUUUGACUUUGAAUCCUGGACUUCUUUCUGUACAACCUUAAGACAGGUCAAUUAACCUGCCUCUCAGCUCAAGGUCCAGGUUCCGGGACCAUGAGAGUGCUUUAUUGACCUUUAUAUCUUCCAUAGAACUUAACACAAAGCCUUAUACAGAGAGUGACCAUAUGUUCUGUUUAUGCCUCUUGUCCCAGUGCAGUAAUUAACUGUGCCCCUUUCACUCUUAAAAGUAUCCCAUUUUGGACAAUAAAUUAUGUGGUCACCCUACUUAUACAGAUGAGGACCCAGCUUCCUCAUCUGUCAAAUGAGGGUUACUUCAUGAGGCUACCGAGGAUUAAAUGAGAUACCAAAUGUAACAGUACCUGGCAUGUAAUUUUCAACAAGUUCAAUAUUGCUAGCAUAAUCAAGACCAGCCUUCCACUCAAACCCCCGUUACUGCUGGAAAUGUCCCAAGUCAGAAGGUGGGGGCAAGGCAGGAAGAGAAAACCACUAAAAUGGCAGACUUAGUUUAGCUUCCCUCCAAACUAAUCCUCCAAGGGCCACCACCCAGGGCUGGGCAGUGAAAGGACCAGGAUCACAGUAGCUCCUGAGGAGUGGACCACCCGGCCGCCUUGCUCUCCUGGUGCCCCUUCCUCCUGGUCUUAGGCUUCACACACUGACCCAGCCCCUCAGCUACUGCUCCAUCCUCAACUCCUGGAGGCAGACACCACCCACCAGGCUUCCUCAGGCCAUUUCCCUCGGCGGGCGGGUGUAGGGGGGUGGUGACUUUCCAAAGUGACUGAGCCCUGUCCUGAUGGCCGGGUAAUGCUGUCUGGUGGGCACUAGUACAUCUUCCUGUGCCUCUUGUGACAGAAAUGCCAAAAACAAACAAAACAAAAAACCCGCAGCCCCUCAUCGCCAUGAGAGGAGGGGAUUCUGGAGGCCACCAUUUAAUAGCUCUCAAGUGCUUUUCAAGCAUUAAAUCAUGCCAUCCUCAUGACAACUCAAUGAGGCAGACACCAUUACUCCCAUUUUGCUCAUCAACAAACUGAGUCAUAGAAAGCUAAGUAAUUUUCCCAAGGUCACAUAGCUAAUAAGUAGCAGAGUCAUGAAAGCUCUAGAAUAGGAGCUAAGAAAACUGGAUUCCACUGGGGACACGCCGCAAAUUACUAGCCUAAUGGCCAGGAAGGAGGCCUUAACUUAUCUCAAUUUGACUUCUAUUAUUUGUCAAGAAGCUGUGCUACUUCACCAAUGGACCUGCUGUGAGUAUCGAGUGAGAUAGGGCAGGUGAAAUCACUGUACAGGUGUUUACUAUUAUGAUGCCCUGGCAACAUCCUCCAUCGUUGUGUUUCUGAGAGCUGGACCCAGUAUGGAGGAGGAGAAUCCUGGUACCCUGCUGUUCUUUCCUCCCUUGGGCCCUGCACACUCUGGCUCAAGGUAAAGGAGGAAUUACUCUAAAGCAGUGGUUUUCCAAGUCUGAUCUCUGGGCCAGCAGCACCAGCAGUAUCUGGGAGCUAGUUAGAAAUGCAAAUUCUCAAGCGUCACCCCAGACUCACGAAAUCAGAACCAUUAGGGGAGGGGCCUGGCCAUCUGCAUUUUAACAAGGCUUCCAGGUGCUUCUGAGGCAUGCUUAAUUUUCAGAACCGCUAGGCUAGAGUAUCCCUGGACAGAUAACAACCUGGGCCUCUCUCACCCUGGUGGGCCUGAGGCAGGACCCAGCAUUGGCCAGAAGACCCAGGCCGUGAGGGCCACUGCCCCAAAGAUGAAAAGCUCCCAAUAAAACCCAGACCUACAUGGCUGCACUGAUCAAAAUACAAUAAAGAAGAAAGUGAGAAAUCUGACAAAAAGAAAACGCAGCUUCAGUGGGGGUCAAAAUACAACAAUCUUCUGUGGGAGAUGAGAAGCAUAAAAGGGACGUUAGAUGUUCAAAGAACCAAAUGUCACAACGACAAAAAAUACAAGAAUAAAGACAAAGUGUGGAUAUCAAUGCCACAUGGGCCUCAGUCUAAUGAUGGCAGUUGCAGGGAACAGCAGCCCCCCCAGGACUAGAGCCUGCUUUCCCCCGCCCCCAACACGACAGCCUAUAUAAAUAGAGUCUUGAGGAAAAAAUUACCAGCAAUUAGUCAUGAAUCUGCUUGCUGGAAUGAGGAGAAACUUGUGGAAAGUCACCAGAGGCUCUGGUGGGAAAAGCUCAGCUAAGGAGGCCACGCAGACAGGGCAAGAGCAAGACGACUAAGGGAGAAGGCCUGUGGGGUGUUCCUGCAACCUUUGAUGCCUUCCAAGUCUUAACCUGGAAGGGAAAAUGAAGGGCCUGGCCACUGGGCUAUAACGAGCUCCAAACUGGGCCCACAUCCAAGUCGGAAGUCCUUUAAUGUGUGCUUGGGCUGGAGGUGGGGCAGGUGAAUGAGGAGGAAGAGUCAGCAUAGCAGGCCCUGCCCUGGGUUGCAGGUACCUUGGGGGGAUGAGGCGGUAGAGCACAGCUUCUGACCACAGUGCCUCCACCACAGAAAGCCUGUGCCACACAGGUCCUCCCCUGGCCCCUGGGGAAUAUGCUUCAGAAGCAGUGACAGCAGCAGGCUCAGCGUUUCCAUUCAAGAGGUCUGCUGAAAAUGACCCUGUUUCAGGACCAAAGUGAUGAGGAGGGAGGACCUCUCUUGCCCCGAUGAAUUUCUCAACUCAUCUCCAUCGACAGAGGAAUCUCAGUGUGCUGUGUUCCCCACCGCCUCUGCCUGAGCGCCCUGCCCCUGCCCGUCCCCAUCUUCAUCUGGCCAGUUCCUACUGCAAGAACCCUUCAGACACGAUCUCCUCAGAGAAACACUCGCUGACCUCCUGACCCUCACAGGGCCCCUGCUAUGCAUUCCUGGGGCCCUCCUUCUUUCCAUCCUCUUAACAGACCUGACAAGAUCAGCUUCCCCUCCUAAACCAUGAACUCUCUCAAGGACCUGGACUGUGCCUUGUUGUCUGUUCAACUGUGACCUCACUCUAGAUGGUAGAGCCCAAUGCCCAGCAUGCAAUUAACAGGAGCUGCCUGCAGACACAAGGCUGGCUCUGUGUCCCCUCCCAGCUGAGACACUGAGCCCCAGCACUAGGCACGUGGAUGGGUUGGGCACAUGACCUCCCUCCCUUUCUGAGCACCUUGCCCAUUCCAAGAGCUCACGGAAUCAGACUCCGCGACUGCCCUGAGUUCUGACUUCUCUCCCCAUCUCCCUGCACUUUGAUUCUCUUGACCAUGGGUCCUCCUCACUGCAUAUCCCCUGCCUGCUUGAGAAAAGGGAUGCAGCCCAGAUGGUCAAUAACCCCCUGAGGUCCUCCUCCUAGGAAUGUCUGUAUUUGCUCACAAAGAGAAGUUUAUAUAUAUAAAACCAAGAAACAAAUUUCUAAUGGUAUUAAUUGAAUUUUAGGCAGUAGCAGAAAGAAAAAAAGAUUUGGGAAGCAGGGAGUUUCACUUGAUUCCUGAAAUCACCUCUAGUAGGUAAUGCCCACCUCUGCUGUGUCUAAGAUCAGCCCUGACUCAAUCUUAGGAUUAGGCACCGCCUGCCAGCCAUGGCAGGACAGUCCACAGAUAUGUCCCCAGGUGGCCACUGUCACCUCCUUUCAGCCUGACCUCAGCUGGCUGUCCUCCUUGACAACAGUCCUCUCUGGCUGAAGACUGGAAACUGUAGGCUAGAGCUCCUGCUUUCCUUUCUGGGACUCUAACACAGUACCAGCCCAACUUUCCAUGCCUCUGUCAGGUCAGCAUGGUAUCAGAGAUGGCUGUUUGGCCACUCUCCUCCUGCAAUAAUACUCCACGCUCCACCAACCCCUGUUCCAUCUGAGAGCCACUCACAGUCAGCUCUGCCCGAGGUCCCUGAUAGAUUGGCUGGUGCCAAGGAUCCAUUGAGGAGAUGGCACAGAGCCACACAGGGGAGCAACAACAUUGGAAGAGGGCAAGGUCAAGUUGACAAAUACCAUAUACGAUCAGAAAGAAUUGCAUGAACCGCAGUGGCAUAAUGUAGCAUAACAGAUGGAUAAUUAGAUUUAUUCUAAGAGCUGUAAAAGUAAGUAAUUAAAUAAAAAUAUGGAACAAUGAAUCUGCCACAGAGAGACAUCUAACAGCCUCACAAGGGCCUUGCAGCUGGCACGAGCAGCCUGGGAAGGAAGCAGUGGGCAAGGAACCUCUAACACUGCCCUGAUGUUUUAGGCACAAUAAAUUUAGCACCAGCUCACACUGGGCACAAGGGGACAGCUUGAUCUCAGAGGGGGAUAAUCACACCCAUGGCUGCAACAGUACUGUGCCCUGGGAGUAUGGCCUCUUGUCUGCAUCUGGAAGACAGCAGCCUGAGGUAUUCCGAUAAAUGCCCCACCACUGGCAUGUUUGGAAAGGCCCCUGCAAAGCAAGACUGGCAGAUUGUAUUUAUCUUUGCAGAAGCAGAGGCAGAGAGGAAGGGAGAUGAAAAUGUAUGCACAGAUGACAGGAUUCACUGCCACCAACAAAGGCAGGCUGGGAGACCCAGGUUCAGGUCUCCACUCUCCUCCCAAAGGAUGGUGGCAGAUGGUGAGGGUACAGUUACCACAUAAGAAACACAAGGCAAGCACCCAAUGUGUGCAAAGCAAAGUGUUAGGUACAGGAUUUCACCAGGGAAGCAGCUUCCCUGGACAUGACAUUAGCUAUUUGGAAGCAAACAGAUCAGUUGGAAGUUGUUUUGUAUUAGUUAGGACUCUGUUUUUAAGGGACCAAAAUGAAAUUCAGAGGAAUUUGAAUUCCUUUGAAUUCCUUCCUCAUCUAUGGAAAAGAGAGUGUACUGGGUCCCAUUAUGAAGAGGCAUGACAAAGGUAAAAAGCACAGCUGGGUCCAGAGGCUUAAGUAAUGUGCCAAGGCCCUCUCUCAGCCUGCACCUCUAGGCUUUGCUUCUCUCCAGUUUUCUCCCUGUAAACAGCCAAUCCCAGCAUAAAGGUAACUACAUCCUCCCAAGUGGUAUAGAAUUCCAGGGAAGAUCCUGGCCAACAUGGGGAAACCGUCUCUAUAAAAAUACAAAAAUUAGCUGGGUGUGGCGAUGCGCACCUGUAGUCCCAGCUACUAGGGAGGCUGAGGCAGGAGAAUAGCUUGAACCUGGGAGGGGGAGGUUGCAGUGGGCCAAAAUUGUGGUGAGCCAAGAUUGCGCCACUGCACUCCAGCCUGGGCAACAAAGAGCAAAACUCAAAAAAAAAAAAAGAAUUCCAGAGAAGAACUUUGAUUGGUCCUGCUUGUGUGACACACACACCCCUGGACCAAUUACUGUCCAGAUGGAAGUGAUACUGUGAGUGGCAAGUCUAGAUCACAUGACCAGCCCUAACUGGGAAGGGAACAGGUGGGGCAUAAAGAUUAACAGCCUCACCACACCAUGUGGCACUGGUGAAGAGAUUCCCAAAGGAAAGGAAGUAUUAUUUUCCAAAGAGGAGAACAGAAUGUGUUGAGAGACCAAAAACAACAUAAAUCAAGAGCCUUCAUAGCCCACCACAUUGUUUUAUACCACCCCAGGCCAAGAUACUAGAUGAUAAUUGACUAUCUGGGGCUGGAAUGGGAGGUGGCCAAGUCUAUUAACAGUCUGGUUGGAGAUUUGUUUGCAGAGAUCCCAUGUGACCUACCGGCUUGAAAUGCUCCAAAGGCCCUGCUGCUUGUACUUCUAAAAGCAGCCCAUCCUUGUAGACCUGCCCCUGAGACCAUGCACAGGACUUUUUCUACUUCAAACAGCUCCACUUAGGAAAUCUACACAGCACUAAAAGCAUAGUGAGGAGUUCCCCCAGCAGCCAACUCUUUGCAGGGUUUUCUCACCAACUAACUUGAAUCUUCUUCUCAGAGCACAGACCAUAAAGAUUAACUCCCCUGAACCUGGAAACCUCAGCACCUUUGACGGGGGUCAAGAGCGGGGAUGAGGCUCAGCCCAGAGUUGCUCCCCAUUCACACCAAUGGUUUCACAGGAUAGCUCUCUAUUCCAAUAUACCCCUACAUCCUGGAGAGGGAGGGAAACUCAGCAUAAUAGCUGCAAAAGUAGAAAACUUCCCACAUCCCCAGCACCACAAAAGCUGCCACUUUGCUCAAUGCCUAGCACAAAGGGCUCACAGUGGGGCUCUCCCCACAACCUGGCUUGAAGGAAGAGAGGUCCUUGGCCUUUCCUCACCUCCAGGGCCCACGGCACACUCUUCUAACAUCCUCACUGGGCUCCAACCAACAGGCUCAGUCAUCUCUCUGGCUAAAUAUCAAAGCAGCUUCCCUUCUCAAGCGUGUCCAAAACUCAGGUCUCCUUCAGGCCACACAGAUGACACCCUCCAAAAGCCCAGAAUGAGCUCUGUAGGGUCCCUGGGGAGAGCUGAGACAUAGGAGGCCUCGUUGUUCCAAGGCCAGCUGGGGAUAAGGGUUAUGGGGACCUUUGGAAGCCAGAUCCAGCAGGAGAAUCAUGAGGCUUCAGUUCCUGAGCUCUGCACAUUCUUAAGUGAUUCCGUUGACUUCACCAACAACCUGGGGCCCGCCGAAAGCAGUGGUGCUAGCCAACAUCUGGUCACCAAGUUCUUUCUGCCACCAUUACUUGUCCACUGAGCCUGUCCCUAGAAAUGCAGAAAGACAAAGCUCAGCUCCCAUGUGGAGUACUUAAAUGCUCUAGCCAUGCCUGGUACUCACAGCCACAUUUGAAGGUCUGGUUCAACGCAGCCAUGCUGGGUCCAGAUGUAAGAACCUCAAGCUGGGCUAAAAAGCAGCUUUCCCAUGGGUGAACCCUCUGGCUCAGAGCUCCUCAGGCUGGCUCUGCUGCUGCUCCACACAUGCCACAAUUUACUACAGCUGUUAAGAGCCCCAGAGACAAGAAAGCUCCUCCUUCCCACUUGUUCCCUGCCCUUCUUCAGCACAGGCUGGAACCAAGCACCAGCCAAACCUGGAGAGAACCUCAGAAACUAUGACCCCACCCCACAAACUGAGCUCACACAAUUUUUCUUGAGCCACAAACUAAUUUUUGUUAAUCCCAGAGAAACAGUUCAAACAGCAACUAACCUUUUUCUUCCUUCACAACUAUUAAACUUGGACAAAUACCUCAAAAUAGUACAUGAACCAAGAGUUUAAUCCUUCUCCCCAGAGGCAAAGAGAGGACUAUGUGGGUAACAUGAGGGUAAAACCCUGGGUCCACCAAGUCCAGGACAAACGGGUCCUGGGUCCUCAGGCAAGGGGGACAGAGGGGCAAUAAGAGCAGAAGGGAGGACAACCCAGGGCUGAGGCCCCAGUGAUGGGGGUAGAGAAGCCCUUGUUCAGUCCCAGCAUGGAGCUGAGGCUGGCCACAGUAUUCCUACAGUACAGCAGGAGCGACACCUGCCUGCCACCUGGCUGAAGGGAUCUGGGCAAACUGAUGAGUCCACCCCCAAGCCCAAGCCAAUUAAAGGUUAUCCUUAUACAAUUAAAGGUUGUGUAACAUAUGUAACAAACCUGCGCGUUGUGCACAGGUACCCUAGAACUUGAAGUAUUUAAAAAAAAAAAAAAAAAAAAAAGGUUGUGUAAGAAUAAAGUGGCCCAGAGAAUGAUCAUGAAUGCUAAAACACAGAAUCCAAAGGGCUCAUGCCAGAAAACCCAACAGCAACUUCUGUGUCUUAUUUUAUAAUAAGUAAUUUAAAUAAUUAUAAAUCAUGUAAGUUCAUGGUAAAGAAAAAAAAAAUCAAGCAGUAUAGAAGAGUGCAAAAUAGAAAGGAAAAGUCCCUGUUUCUCAGACCAUCAGAGGUAAGAGCAGAGUUUUUUCUUUUUUCUUUUGAGACAGGGUCUCGCCCUGUCACCCAAGCUGGAGUACAGUGGUGUGAUCACAGCUCACUACAUCCCUGAGCUCCCAGGCUCAACUGAUCCUCCUGUUGCAGCUUCCUAUGUAGCUGGGACUAGACAUAUGCCACUGCACCUGACUAAAUUUUUUUUUAAUAUAGAGCUGAGGUCUCACUAUGUUACCCUCAAACUUCUGGGCUCAAGUGAUCUUCCCGCCUCCCAGAAUGCUGGGACUACAAGUGUGAGCCACCGUGUCCAGCCUUGACUAAUUUGUUGUUGUGAUUGUAGAGACUAAGUCCCACUAUGUUGCCCAGGCUGGUCUCAAACUCCAGGCUCAAGUGAUCCUCCUGCCUCAGCCUCCCAAAGUUCUAGGACUACAGGCAUGAGCCAUCACGCCCGGCCCAGAUUUUUAUAUCACAUAUUUAAAAAUAUAUGUGCAAUAUAAAUUUAUAUAUAAAUCUUUACCCAUUUACUUUUUAUAUGAAUGGAUCACGCUUCUACACAUGCUAUUUUCAAUGUAGAGACCCUACUCUCCAGAAAGAAGAGGCUCCUCAGGUCUCUCCGUGCACCCCUUGAUAUCAAAUUGAGCAGCAAACAGAAGAGAACAGGGGUGGCUGGUCAUAUUUUAAAAGACUCCAGGAUACACUAACAUUCCAGAACCAAAAGCUAAAUCCAAAGAGCUCCUCAGGAAAGCGUGAACUCGGCUGCAACGGGGUCUCUCUCUACAGGCCAGGGAGAGGGAAGGCAGCCUUUAUAAACCGUUCCUCUUGGGCUCUCCUGCCUGUGGCUGUUAGCUUCACCUCCCCCAACUUGCCAUCUGAGGGCCUUCAUUCUUCACUGUCAUGCCUGUCACCACCUCUGUCCUCCCCCUUUGGGCCUGCUCUACAGCCUCCGCACUGCUCUGAAACAUCACCACUGGCAGGACUGUGCAACUGAGAACAACAGGAGAUGACCUCACGGCCUUUACAUUCUAAUGCCAGCUCCCAAUUACUUGUACUGUUGAAUAAUUGAAAGAGGAGAAUAAUCCACUCAGCUGAUUUGGGAAGCCAGCCAGGCACACAGAUUAUCUCAGAGUGAAUUAUUCACACUAGGGAUAAUUGGGAGUUGCCCAAACUUCUAUUUGUAGUUCAGGCAUCACGUGGAAGAACAUUCGGUAUGGAAAGUAUGAAAGCUGGAGAGGGAAGGAGCCCCUGUUUCCGGGCCUGGGUUUCCUUUAUGUUGCUUGGGAAGUCAAUGCUCCUCUCUCGGUCUCACUCAGAGUCGGUGAGCACAAUGAUGAUGAUGAUAUUAACAUUAACAAUAUUUUAGUGACAGCUCUUGCUGUAUUUCCUUACAAUGUGCUGUGUUCUGUGCUAUGAGCUUCAUGUGUAUCAUCCUACAUUAUCUCAUUUAAUCCUCACAUGAGUCUGUGAAGCACCACUGUCUUCUUCAUCUCUGAGCUGAGGAAGCUGAGGCUUAGGUUAAGUAACUUGCCCAGAGAUAUACAGCAACAAGCUGUAUGUCCAUCCAUAGACCAGGAUCUUACUCAAGAAGUUCUUUUGCCACACACCUCUUACCUCUCCCACUUUUAAGAGUCUUCCUUACACAAGACAUAAAACUGUAAAGGAUAAAAACACCCCAUUUUUAGUAUAAUACUGUCUACUCUCAUCUUGAAAUUACUGGAUUUCAAGGUAAGAAAAAUGGCUCCCUCCUCUGAAGGUUGGCAAGAAGCCUAUAGGAAGGGGCUGGUCAGCUGGUCAAUCCAUUUCGAGAAAUCCAGUGUCUGGAAGCACAAGCCACUGGCAGACUUCCAGAAGAGCUCAGCCUUCUCUCAUGAUCAAAGACUCAAAAAUGAAACCACUGUCCUCCCCCUGACACGCCACCACUUCAGCCAAGAGGCAGCUACUGAGCUGGGCAGCUCAGCACCGUGAGGCCAGAGCAUGGGGGAAGGGCAUAGGCUCAGUGAGCUGCAAGGAACACCUGCCUCAGACAAGGGUCCAUGAGGUGACUGACUGUCCCUGCAUGUGUGGGGUCUCCUUCCACAGUGCCUAGGACAGAGUCCCCAGAUACUAGGUGUGGUGCCAGUCUCCAGCACGGUCACCGGCGAUCCCCACCAGCGAUCCCAGCCUUUGUGUUGGUGCCUCCCACAUUAACUAUAGAUGAUCUAUGUGACCAAAAGAAUAAAGAGGAAGUGAUGAUGUCGAAUUCUAAGGCUAGGCCACAAAAAGAACUGAAGUUUCCAUCUUGCUGUCCUAUGUUGUUCACUCUGGGGGAAGCCAUGGGGAGACCUGCACAGCCCUGUGGAGAAACUCACAGAGAGAGAAACCGAGGCCUCUCACCAACAACUGGCACCAACCAGCCAGGCGUGUAAACUGGAAGCAGAUUCUCAUACCCAGUCAACACCCUGCCUACAUUUCCAAAUUCCUGACCCAAAGAAACAGAAAAAUAAUAAACUAUUACUGUUGUUUUAACCCACUA
Long non-coding RNA from Homo sapiens (human), 23946 nucleotides. RefSeq lists it as uncharacterized. Lineage: Eukaryota; Metazoa; Chordata; Mammalia; Primates; Hominidae. The record is from RefSeq and is a predicted model, not a curated record. The transcript is spliced from 2 exons.